This 253-nucleotide ribosomal RNA is filed under the name uncultured bacterium. RNAcentral describes it as "partial 16S ribosomal RNA". It matches the Rfam family "Bacterial small subunit ribosomal RNA", at positions 524 to 776 of the family's 1533-position model. The record is from RNAcentral.
UACGUAGGGGGCUAGCGUUGUCCGGAAUCAUUGGGCGUAAAGCGCGUGUAGGCGGUCCGGUAAGUCCGCUGUGAAAGUCGGGGGCUCAACCCUCGGAUGCCGGUGGAUACUGUCGGGCUUGAGUACGGAAGAGGCGAGUGGAAUUCCUGGUGUAGCGGUGAAAUGCGCAGAUAUCAGGAGGAACACCGGUGGCGAAGGCGGCCUGCUGGGCUAUGGCUGACACUGAGGCGCGACAGCGUGGGGAGCAAACAGG